CCUACGGGUGGCAGCAGUGAGGAAUAUUGGUCAAUGGACGCAAGUCUGAACCAGCCAUGCCGCGUGCAGGAAGACGGCCCUAUGAGUUGUAAACUGCUUUUGUCCGAGGGCAAACGCAGGUACGCGUAUCUGUAUGAAAGUAACGUACGAAUAAGGAUUGGCUAACUCCGUGCCAGCAGCCGCGGGAAUACGGAGGAUUCCAGCGUUAUCCGGAUUUAUUGGGUUUAAAGGGUGCGUAGGCGGAAGGUUAAGUCAGCGGUAAAAUGUCGGUGCUCAACCCCGGCCUGCCGUUGAAACUGGGCUUCUUGAGUGAGCGAGAAGUAUGCGGAAUGCGCGGUGUAGCGGUGAAAUGCAUAGAUAUCGCGCAGAACCCCGAUUGCGAAGGCAGCGUGCCGUGCCGCCACUGACGCUGAGGCACGAAAGCGCGGGGAUCGAACAGGAUUAGAUACCCGAGUAGUC
Molecule: ribosomal RNA, 459 nt
Filed under: uncultured bacterium
Lineage: Bacteria
Description: partial 16S ribosomal RNA
Rfam family: Bacterial small subunit ribosomal RNA
Source: RNAcentral